This 50-nucleotide ribosomal RNA is filed under the name Natronorubrum thiooxidans. The record is from RNAcentral. Lineage: Archaea; Methanobacteriati; Methanobacteriota; Halobacteria; Halobacteriales; Natrialbaceae.
GUGAGUACUGGAGUGGGCGACCCUCUGGGAAACUCGUUUCGCCGCCUCCA